Molecule: long non-coding RNA, 6099 nt
Filed under: Homo sapiens (human)
Lineage: Eukaryota; Metazoa; Chordata; Mammalia; Primates; Hominidae
Description: HSALNT0377059
Source: RNAcentral
CAGAAACCCCUGAUAAACCCAUCAGUUUUCAUGAGACUUAUUCACUAUCACGAGAAUAGCAUGGGAAAGACUAGCUCCCAUGAUUAUUACCUCCCCCUGGUUCUCUCCCAUAACGUGGGAAUUCUGGGAGAUACAAUUCAAGUUGAGAUUUGGGUGGGGACACAGCCAAACCAUAUCACUGACUUAUUUCACUUAAGACAAUAUUUCCAGUUUCAUCUUUGAUGCUGCAAAAGAUGUGAUUCUGUUCUUUUUUUAUGGCUGAAUAUACACUACAUUUUCUUUAUCCAACCAUCUGGUGAUGGAUACUUAAGUUGAUUCCUUAUCUUUGCUACAGUUCAGUGAUUUUUAAAGUAAACUUACAGAGUUGGGAAAUCAUCAUCAUAAUCCACUUGGAACAUUUUUAUCUCUGCAACAAGAUGUGUCCAUUUGUAGUCACAACUUGUUCCCACCACAACCCCCAGGCUGCCAGGAAUCUACUUUCUGUUUCUAUACAUUUUUUCUGGGCAUUUUAUAAAAAUGGAAUCAUGAAGUCUUUUGUGUCUGGCUUCUUUCACAGUAUAAUCUUUUUGAGAGUCAUCUGUAGUACUUGUGUUUCCUCUUAUUGUUGAAUAGCAGCCCAUUGUAUGGGCAUACUGUACUUUGUCUAUGCAUUCACCAGUUGGUGGACACUUGAAUUGUUUCCACAUUUUGGCAACUAUGAAUAAUGCUGCUAUGGACAUUCGUGUACAAGUGCUCGUGUAGACAUAUUAAUAUGUAAUCUUGUUCUAAAAGUCUAAAAUUCUAAGAAUUUAUCGAACUUGUGAAGAGAAUGACUAUUGAAACUAGCCUUGGUUCUUAUCCUUUGGAUGUGACUACAUUUUUGUCAGAAUGUCAUGAAGAAGCAUAAUUAUUUAUAUCCAAGAUAGAAUUUAACUUUCAAUUAAAAAAUGUUAAAGUUGAUUUUUAAUAAAAUACUUGGACAAAAGUAGAUCAGGGAUUAGGUUGAUUGCUUUUAAAUUUUAGUGUAAAAUUUCAAGAAAGGUUAGACUAGAUUCCAGUGGCUGCAAUGCUGCACAGCUAUAGGCCGCAUCCUCUCAUUGGAGUUGUGUGUGCAGGUGUGCCCUUCAUGUGGGAUGCAGUGGGAAUGGUGCCGUCCAGAGCUGUGUGUGAACAGGUGUCCAUACUGCUAGUCUUUGAGUCUGGGUAAUCUCCACUCUGUCCCUGGAGGGUGGGCCUGUUCUGCUUCUAGAGGUCAAUGCCAAGUCAGAAAGGGAGUCAAGGCCCAGAAUGCCACUCUGCAGACUACUAUAGUUCCAGACUCUAGGGAGUCCUGGGCAGGGGGCUUAUCUUAAACCAAAGGAAUUUCAGACUAGAAUUGUAGAUGGUGCCCUUGAAGAGCUGAUGGGACAGAUUGAAAGUCCUGACUCCCAGCUAAAGCAGUAUCCUACACACCCUCCCAUCUGGAGAGAUCUUGGGCUAGAUGCCCCCAGUCUAACUGAGACGCUGACUUUGGAGGGUUGUUCCAGCCUUGCAAUAGUAGUACCUUUUUGUUUAGGUGGGAGUGGAUUAGAACAGUGGGUAAAGUUUUGGGGUGAAAGAAGCCAACUGGGACAUAUGUCUUAGGGGGACACAGGCUUUGUCCAUCCUUUCUCUAAAAGUACUGGGCUGAACCCUCUCAGCAGAGAGUUGUGGAAAAUUAGAGACGUUCUGUGGAAAGACCAAGUUAAUGUUCAAGUCUCAGAAUCUGAUCUUAGGUCAAAUAUCUCUUGCUUUUGCCAGUAAAAAGAGCCCAGAUGUUUUUCUAUUUACUUAGGCAAACCCUUGAAACACAAGUUAGUCAUAUAAAACUUUACAUUUGCAAUGUUAAGAGCCCAUAUUUGGAAAGUCACAAGCAUAAAAUAUAUACUGUGAAAUGGGAGGUCAGGACGGUGAACUCAUUUCAGAACCAUAGUUUUGACUCAAGAAUUUUGAUGGGGUCUUCACGUUGGUUGAGCUUCUUGGUCCUAAUAUCAUUGAGAGAAUUAAAUCAUGAUAUUAAAACAUUGAAACACUAAUGCUUUGUUUUUAUUGGCAAGAACCAAAAUGAUCUAAUACUAAUGCCACGAAACAUCAGUCACUUUUUUCCUGAUGAAUAAGAUGAACUUUGGCUGCUUAUGAUAGUAAAUUUAAUAAUGUCAGUGAUUUGAACUGUUUCAGUUCUAAAUGUGCAGAAAUGUGUUUUACUGCAUCUCUCUCUCUCUCUCUCUCUCUCACACACACACACACACACACACACACACACUACUUCUGUCAGGAAGUUUUGUGGCAAAUGAGCCCAAAUGCAUAGAUUAGAGCAUAUCAUUCACAUGUGCCAUGUGUGUGCCAAAGUGUGCGUACCCACUGCUAGACUUCCUCUCACAGGUGGUCUGAAUUUGCUUCUAGCUGGUCCUGUAAGCAGAUUUAAUAUUUCAUAAGCACUGCUCCAUCUCAUGCCUCCAUUAUUGACACCACAUGGAAGUCAGGAAAUUGGUUCUUUCUGGGAACAGUUUGCAGAAAUAUGCAGCCUGUCAGCCCCUUUCUCAUGGGUGCAUUAACAGAGCAGCUCACGAUUACAAGUAACGAACCUUCUCCAGAUGUGUGUAGCAACUCAGCUCCAACUUUAUCUUCGGCCCUGAAGAUGGACUUGGCAAGAUGGAUUAUUUGUGGCUGUAUUGUAAUAACUUUGUGAAAUUGGAAUUCCCAGUGAUUGUAAUGGAGGGUGAGGAAGCGGCAGCAGAGGAACAGAUAAUUUCUCCUUGCAGUAAACAACGAAAAGACCAACAACAAUAAAAAGGGCAAAUCAGCUGUGGCAUUUUCCUGCUUUGGACACCGACUCUUCCAGACUGUUCUAAUUCUUUCCCUUUUAUGAUUCUGUUUAUGUUACACACAUUAAAGUUAAGUCAUGUCUUAAAUAAGAUGGAAACUGGAAGUGAGAUUUGGAAAUGACUGAAUCAGGCUUCUUAACUUUUUUCUUCUCUUGGAGAGCUCAAAAACAACGGACAGAAAGGGAUAUACCAAAGAAAACAAUAUUAAUUGUCGGCUUCCAUGGAAAAUUCAAUCCAGUCUUUCAUUCAUUCUCUUCCCAGUGCAGUGCCAGCAGACUUCUCUCUAUAUGGCUAAGGGCUUAAUUUAGCUGACAAAUUUCUGAAGGAUAACUAAGCUUUCAGAAAGAAAGAUUCUAGCUAUAAAUGAAGCAUGUGUGCUCUCUCAGUCACAAAAGACAGAUUUUUCCAGGAUAAAGUAAUUUGGGGUAAAUUUCUCCUGUAUUUUAUUAGCAGUGAUGAUUUCAAGGGAGUAUUCUUUUAAAGCAAGGCAGUAUUUAAAUCUUUCUUUUAAAUCACAAGUCCCUUGAGUUGAUAGUUAUAAAACUGGGUUCCACUGGGAGUUAUUUGUACAUCUUCAAGGUUGGCACCCUUAGUUGUUUGAUGUAGAUGUUCUAGAUAAAAUUCCUAAAGUCCAGCUGUUAUGAUUUAGCUUAAUAUGUUUGUACAGAGGGGUUUCCUUUGUCAUUGAAGAGAUAGAGUCAAAACAGAAUUAGUCAUUCUUGCAUCUUCUAUUUAUAGCCCACUAUUAUUCUGAUGCAUUGUCAAAGAAUGAAGUGGACAAGAAUUUUUCUUCCUUUCUUUCUUUUUUUUGUGUAAACAAAACUCUUUUUAUACUCUGUGGAUUUAACUUUGGUUGCUAACUUAGUCAGACAAGGCACUUAACAAAAAUAUUACUUCUUAAAUGAAAAAUUACCUAUUAAGUCAUCCCAUCUUCAUUUGCAAAUUAAAGGUUUGUCAGUACAAAGUAUGUGGGAUGACCAGAAGUCAUGGAUGACUUACACUGAAGUGGCAAGGGUAGAAAAGGUCAGUUUGAAAAUUUAUUUGUAUGGGUUGCUCAUGACUAAUAGUCCAAAUCUGGAGAGUUUAUAAACAAAAUUCUAUUCUGUUUAUUUAGUUUAUGCCAGCAUUAAAGCUAGCCUGAAAAUUUAGUGAAAGUCAUUUAAGGAAUUUUUAUUUGGAGGAAACUUUAAUUUUUAUUUUUGAGGUCACUGAAUAAAUGUAGAGGUCUCUGUGGCCUGUACUGCAACAAGUAGAACAGUUAGAUAAACUGGUUGUUGAAACUCCCUGGGCCACUGAGUUUUCUUAUUUCUUUUUUUUUUUUUUUUAGUAGAGAGCUGACUUUAGAGGGAUCAAGAAUAGCUUGCUGGAUGGAAGGAGCUUGGGGCCAGUCAUCAUCUUAAAGGCUCUGUGGCAGCUUGGACUUGAAGUAGGGUGCACCCGGAAUUGACCAAUACAAACAGUGGACUGCACUGGAUUCUUCUUGUGCCCUGUCUCAUAUCCUCUUGUCCCACCUUUUCAUAACAGCCAUUGCCAUGGGAACCAGCUGCAUCCAGGUACGACCUGACAGCACCCUGCUUCACUGUCAUGGUGCUCCUGCAGCAUUCUGGUUAGCCAUCAUGUUGCACACACAGACCUGGAAGGGUCAGGGAGUUGCCCAUGGCAACUCUUGGCCACCAAGGGAAAGGACUAGCUCGAUAGCACACUCUUGCCUUGCGUUUCCCUAUUUUUCUUCUCUUAGUUGUUCAUACCUUGUUUCACAUCCCCAUAUAAGCCAUCUGUACCCAAGUCCUUGUUUCAUCUUCCAUUUCAGGAAAUACCAGGUUAAUACAGAAACGCAAACUACAACAAAUAAACAUUCACAUUUUAAAGUCAGGCAACAAAACUUUAUGCCUUUCAGAGCAUAAUGCUUUCUGACUUCAAAAUAUAAGACUUCAUGCUUGGCCCUUCUUUAUUAAGAACUUACUUAAAUCAGCAUAUCUUUGCAUGGGACUUCAAAUCCUUUCAUUUAAGGCAAGUUUUACAGCCAAUAUUAACGUUGGUGUACCAGUACCCUGUUCUUAAACUGGCUAAAGCAGCCUCAAAAUUCCCAAAGGGAAUAAUGAAAAUUCCUAACAUCCUUGGCAGGAAAACAGUUGGAAGUUUAAAUCAAGCUAAUUGUUUUGGCUAAUAUGUUUUUAAUAAAAUAAAUAUUAAAUUAAUAAUAAAAAAGAUUUCAAGCUAUUUACAAAGAGAAAGGAAGGGAGGGGUUGCAGAAUGCCCAACUAUAAGAAAUGUUGCUUGGAAACUACUCAAGAAGAUGCAUUUUUGAGAGCCAGGAACUCUGCUCUCCUUCAUUCUGCAAGAAAGGGAUAAUGCUUCUAUUCAAGACUUCUCUGAAAAGCCUCCAACCGUCAGGGGGCUGUGGACAAAAUAUAUUUUUAGUUUUAGCUUGCAUACUGAAAUAGUUUUUAAUUUUUUCAAAUUUUGAAGUGAUUUUUAAAUAGCUUAAGAGCUUGCAGUUAUUGUUAACAUUUAAAGGUGCUAUAUUCCAGGUAUUGGGCUAUGAGCUUUAUAAGUAUUAUUUAAUUUAGUUUGCUUUUCACAGCAACUCUAAGAGGUAGGCAUUGUUAUUAUCUCUGGCUCAUAGAUGGAGACACUGGACUUCACAGAGUUAAACAUAAGUUGCCCUGACCCAUACAGCUGUUAAGUAGAGAGGCUGAAGAUGGAAUGAAAGCCAGGUCUGGCAACUACAAAGCUCAGGCCCUUGAAUUCUAACCUUAACCACUUGCAAUUUAAAAUGUCUGAAAGAAGAAAUAUAAACUAAUUUUAAAAUACGUGAUGAGAAAAUUUUCCUGUUGCUGAAGGAAAACCUGGUAUGUGGAUUGAAGUAGUUCACAUUCUAUAAGAAGCAACAUAAGGAACAGGCACCAACACCUAGGCAUAACCUGGAGAUGUAAGACGUGUAAGGACAAAGGUGGGACACCCAGAUUGCUUAAAAGGAAAAGCACUCGGGCUAGGUCUAAUAUCUGUCAGUUCCUGUGGGCCUUAGUUCCUGCUAUUUUCUCUUCCUGUAACUCUCCCUCCUGUCACAUGCCACCUGAUUCUCUUGGCUUGAUGAACUCUUGUUCAUUUUCCCAAAAUUCCAAGGGGAUCUUCCUGAUUCCAUAUACCAGUUAAGUGUCUUCUGUGCAUUUUUCUGUAUCACCCUCUACUAACCCUCUGCUGGCACUCACCACUGCAUAAUGUCUAUUUAAUUUAAUUAUUCUUACUAUUAAAAUGUGCACAUUUUGAAGGCAAA